RNAcentral lists this ribosomal RNA (254 nucleotides) under uncultured bacterium. RNAcentral's name for it is "partial 16S ribosomal RNA". It matches the Rfam family "Bacterial small subunit ribosomal RNA", at positions 524 to 776 of the family's 1533-position model. The record is from RNAcentral.
UACGAAGGGUGCAAACGUUUGCUCGGAAUUAUUGGGCGUAAAGCGCACGUAGGCGGCUUUGCAAGUCGGGUGUGAAAGCCCUCAGCUCAACUGAGGAAGUGCGCCCGAAACUGCAGAGCUUGAGUACCGGAGAGGGUGGCGGAAUUCCCCAAGUAGAGGUGAAAUUCGUAGAUAUGGGGAGGAACACCGGUGGCGAAGGCGGCCACCUGGACGGUCACUGACGCUGAGACGCGAAAGCGUGGGGAGCAAACAGG